Long non-coding RNA from Orcinus orca (killer whale), 6135 nucleotides. RefSeq lists it as uncharacterized. The transcript is spliced from 2 exons. The record is from RefSeq and is a predicted model, not a curated record. Lineage: Eukaryota; Metazoa; Chordata; Mammalia; Artiodactyla; Delphinidae.
GCCCUCCCUUUUCCCUCUCCCUGCAGGGAGCCCAGGGGUCUGGUCCUUUGGUGGUUCUGACUGCUCAGGACCAGUGGGACAUCUCAAAGGGGAAUCUGAGGCUCCAGGGUUCAGCCCGGCAGAGAGGGUUCUGUGUCUUGGCACUGAAGGGGGCAAGAGAUGCUGGCCCGCCUUAUAUCAUUCUUCAACUUGGCAGACAGUUAUCCUAAAAAAAAAAGAAAAAAAAUCUUAAAAAAGGGAAGCCAAUGUUCUUUCCUUGUUCAUAAUGGAAAAAAGAUUUGGUUUUUUUCUAAAGUAAAAUAUUAUGAAAAUAGUAUUCCGUCUGAUAGUCUACACAAUUUAGGUUACAGUUGGAAUGGUACGCUGAUUCUUAAAUGAAAAAAUGAACAAGUCUGAAAGCAAAAUCUGAAAGCAAAAAUCAUAAAAAUAAGAUUCAUUUGUUUUAUAAUCUGUAAAAUUUAGGUUAAAGUUGAAGCUAUAUGCUGAUUCUUAGAAUGGACAAGGAAUGAAUCAAAUGUAGAUUUCAUUGGGGGUAGUUUUCUGACAACCCUUUACAUUGUUGUAGUUUUCUGUUUCAGUCAUAAAGAAGGUCCCUUUGGCAGAAAUGAUGAAGGGCUCCCUCCGUUCUGCCUCAUGCUUUUAGUCCUUAGAUCUUCAGAUCAUUCUCUUUGGAGCCAUCGAUCCUGUGAUCAUCCUUGUAGAGUUUCUCUUCCUCGAUUGCUUUCUGGUCCCUCUUCUAGACUCUCAUAUGCUGAUGGUGUCAUCCAGCAUCACUUUCAUGACUUGGUGGAACCCCUCAUUUUUGCUCUGCAUUCAUUUCGCCACGCAUUUCCCUUAUGUCUCUUGGGAGCCGCUGCCUCACAAAACCCAGCACGUAGUGCGUGGGGAUAGUGAAAAAAAAAUUGGAGUGUUUGUCUAGGGACUUCUUCUAGUCCACUAGUGAAUAUUUUCAUGUUAGAAUGGCUUUUGCUUCUCUGUACAAACUUGUAUCUGCACAGACUUAGCUGAUGACCUCUGUUAAUGGGGCCCCCCUCUAACUCCUGGGUGAGGCUUCUGGGGUUCAAAAAUAAGUAAAUACAGACCUUGAGUUUAGAAUGCAUGGGCUGCUUAGGGAGACAGGAGUGUAUAUAUUCUUAGGAUAUACUGUGAUAAAAUGCUAUCAUAGACAUAUUACGCAAAGCGGGAGGUAGGGCAGCAAAGGUGUCCCAGGAACAAUGAUAUCUGAACUGGGUUUUGAAGGAUGGGUAGAAGUUUGCCAGGUAGACAGUGGGUAGUGGGAAGUGCAUUCCUAGCAGGAGGAACAGCAGGUGUAGCGAUAUAAAAUAAAAUAGCAUGUGGUUUAGAAUGACUGUUCUGUAGAAUGGAAGGGGGAGGAGAUGUUUAGAUGGGGCCUGGGAGACAAAGUGGGGCCAGGGCAUGAGGACCUUUUAGAAGUCACAAGAGCUUUGAGAAGUUGGCAGGGGGACUGGGGCUUGAGAAAUGGGAUGUAGGGCAACUGACCCUGAGGGAGAUUAGGAAAUGGGGCCAAAGAGGCAGGAAAACCAGGUGAAGCUCUGACCAGCUAAGGGGUAGAGAUUUCUGGAUAAUGAAUAAUUCUCAUUUGUUCUCAGAGGGCAUUUUCUUUUGCUUUUGCCGUUCCAAUCUGUGGAUAUUCUAUAAGUCCCUGUAGCUGUGUGUCUCUCUAGAGUGAGAUGCCAAGUAAAAGGAAGGGAGCAACUACUAGGUGCCUUGGCCUGACUUAGGGACAUUGAUCCCCGCAAUCCUGGAGGUAGGUUGUAUCAGUCAGCUGAGGUGGCUAUAACAAAAUAUUAUAGACACAUGAGAGAGAGAGGGCAUCCUUUCUGUCUGGUCUUUUCUUAUAAGGGCACUAACCUUACCUGGAGGAUCCCACACUCAUGAUCUCAUCUAAACCUAAUCACUACCCAAAGGCUCCAUCUGCAAAUACCAUUACAUUGAGGGUCAGGACUUCAACAUGCAGAUUUUGGAGGGACACCGUUCAGUCCAUAGCUGUGGUGUUCUCCCCAUUUUGAAGAUGAGGACAUUGAGGCUCAGAGAGAAGUGACCUGCCCACCAGAGUAACAACGUCAGUACAGAGCUGGGAUUCAAACUCUUGUCUUGGACUGUGGAAGCCUCAUAGCUCUGGUUUUGGAGUUCACAGGCUGAGAAUUGAGCCCCAUGAUGGCCCUGUGCCUGCAGUAGAUCACUUCUCCCAGGUUCUCUUGCCAAGCUUAGAGUGUCAGAGGCCCUUCGUAGCCAUUGGAGCUUCUGGCCCCAGAGUAAGGUGCGGGGAGGCAGGACACCAUCUGGAUGGCCCAAGGGUGGAAUGCUGUAGUGGGUAAUGAUAAGAGCUCUGGAGCCACCUCCCUGUGCUCAAAUCUGAGCUCAGCUGCAAACCUGAUGGAUGAGCUCAACAAGAUAUUCAGCCACUCUGAACUUCAGUCUCCUCACCUGUGAAAUGGCGAUACGAUAGUGCCUACCCUAUUGGUUUAUUUACAAGGAUCAAGUAAGAUGAGUACGAAGCAGUUAGACAUGGUGCCUGGAACAUAAUAGGUACUCAAUAAAUAUUAUUGCUGCAAUGUUUAUUAAUUAUAUAAUUUAAAUCUAGGUUUGGUUGCUUGUAACAGGGACCCAAAAUAACAGUGGCUUUAACAAGGUGAGAGUUUAUUUCUCUCUCAUGGUGGCAUUUAAGUGGGUGUGGUGGUUUCAUUCCAUUUUCACGCGGGCAGGUCCUGUCAGUCCGGCUGCUCUGCCUGCUUUGGGCCACAUUGCCUUGGCCUGCCUGUGGAGCCUCCCCAACUCCCUCAAGUGAAUUUCAUACAUGUCACUAUAUAUAUGCUGUAUGUUUACUUUUUCCUUUUAAAAAUAAGAUGUAUUUUUUUUUCUAGUUACAAAAGUCAUCCAUGUUCAAUGCACAGAAAUGGAUUUUUAGAAAAACCCACAAGAAGACAAAAAACAAAACCCUGUUAACCUCUUGGUACAUGUCCUUUGGUAUAUAUCUGUAAUAAGCAUAUUUAUAGCUGUAAAUAUCACAGUCUGUAUUUGAGUUAGGUUAUCCCAAACACAGUUAUUGAAUCUGGUGAAAAUUCAUCACACCAUCUUCCUGUUGCACAACUUCCGACAAACAGUCUAAAAUUUAAUAGGAUCAUUCCGUGUACUUGGCGUUACCACUUAAAACUGUAAUGUUUAUAUCUUUGCACCUCAGCGCAAACACACCUGCCUCAGUUUUUUAAACAGCUACUUAGUAUUCCAUUGUAUGUGGAUGGGCUGUAAUUUAUUUAACUCAUUCCUUAUUGCAGGUUAAUUGGGUUAUUUCCAGUUUGUCAUUAUUAUAAACAACACUACAGGAACAACUUUGGACAUAUAUCUUUGCUCAUUUGUAAAUAAGUUCCUAGAAGUGAUUUUGCAGGUCAAAGAUCACAGAGGGUUUAAAAAAGAUUAAUUACCUACUUGAAAAAAAUAAUUGCUAUGUGCCUACAAUGCAAUAUUGAAAAACUACAGGAGGGCAUAGAGUGAAAAGGAAUUCCCUAUCCACCCUGACCCGCUCCCUCAUCCCAUAGGCAAUCACUUUCAGGAAGUUCUUUUUAAACUUAUUUUGACAUAAUUUUAGACUUCUAGAAAAGUUAUAAGAAUAGUACAGAGAAUUCCCACAUACACCCUUCAUCCAGAUUUCCCCGAUAUUACAAUCCUUACACACUUACUUUAUCACAUUCUGAGCUUUUUGGGAAUAAUUUGCAGACAUGAUGCUCCUUUACCCUUUCUCUUUAGUGUGUAUUUUCUAAAAAUGAGGAUAACCUCUUACAUAAGCACAGUGUAGUUAUCAAGAUCAGGAAGUUAAAUCAAUACAAUUCUGUUACCUAAUGUACCCUAUUCAAAAAUUUCUAAUUGUUCCAAUAACAUCCUUUAUAGACAAAGAAAAAAAAAUGUUUUUUCUGGCUCAGGAUCCAAUCCAGGAUCCCAGAUUGUAUUUGGUUGUUGUGUCUCUUUAGUCCCCUUUAAGCUGGAACAGUUCUCAUUCUGUCUUUGUCUUUCAUGACCUUAAUAUUUUGGAAGAGUAUAAGCCAGUAAUUUUGUAAAAUGCCCUCAGUUUGGGUUUGUCUGAUUUGACCUCAGGGUGGAGCCAGGAUUGGCACUUUUGGCAGGAGUAUCACAAAGCGACGCUGUGUCUUUCUCAGCGUGCUGUAUCAGGAGACACAUGACUCUGGUUUGGCCUGGUGCUGGGGAUGUUACUUUGGGUGACAUAGUUUGGGUGGCGUUUCUGGCAGGGAGUUUUCAUUUAAUGGUGCUGCGAAACUGCAUCCUUGCUGCCGGAGCCUGUGCGAUUCCUGUCUUCUUCCUCCCACUAGCUCACCAGGUCUCUGCCCUCCUGGUAGCUCUGCUCUCACCUCUCCUGCUCCUUCUUUCUUGCCAUCUGGAGGCAUUUAGCUUGUGGUUUUCAGGGUGUGGCCUGAAGGGGCGUCCCCGGGGCCCACCACAGGUGCAGCCUGACUGCGGGUUUCCCACGUGCCCUGGUGUACAGAUGGCAGGCCCCAUGGUUCUGUUUUUAACAUGAAUUGCCCACCUGCCUCUGGCAUUCCUCAGUGGUACUGCAUUGUAAACGGGCCCAUUUGCUGGUGAAUGUUCUGUGGUGGGGGGAUGGUGGGACCUUUUCCUUAGAGCGGCUUGAGGCCUGAAACUGCUCUUUUGUGGACAUAUUAGCGAGUGAUGUUUAGAGUAAAGACCAUGCCUAUGUGCUUUGCAGUUUAUGAGCUGUUUGGCACCAGUGUGUCCUUUGACUCUUGUUAUGAUCUUAAGAAAAACUGAGAGGCAGGUCCACUUGGAAUUCCUACCUCAUUUUAUGGAUAAGGAAACUGAGGGUCAGAGAUGGGAAGGAGCCAGACCUGGAUCCUUGUCUGUCUGACUUUUUUUUUUUUUUUUUUAAUUUUUAUUGGAGUAUAGUUGAUUUACAAUGUUGUGUUAGUUUCAGGUGUACAGCAAAGUGAAUCAGUUAUACAUCUAUCCAAUCCUUUGUAGAUUCUUUUCCCAUAUAGGCCAUUACAGAGUACUGAGUAGAGUUCCUUGUGCUCUACAGUGGGUCCUUGUCUGACUGUUUCAUGUAAGAGAUUGUCCCUGGUGCUCAGAGCAGGUUAUGAACAAGCCAAACAAGACAGAUAUGGUCCUGGCCUCCAGAGCCCACUUGCUGGUGGAGGAGACAGAGAAGUAAGCAAAUAAAUGAUUCCAGAUAAUAAUUGCUAAGAAGAAAAUACAACUGGAGAGCAUAGUAGGAAGUGGCUGGGGCUGGGCUCUGGGGGGCACCUUGAGACGGGGUGGUGGGGGAGGGACUCUCUGAGGAGGUGACAUUUGAGCUGAGAUGUGAAGGCUGAGCAGGUGCUGCCAAGGGGAGGACUGGGGGGAAGAGUGUUCCAGGUCAUAAGAACAGCAAGUACAAAGAACCUGAGGUGGGGUCGAGUUUGGUGUGUUCAGGAGACCGGGGGGCCUGGAGCAGAGGGUGUGAGAUGGGCAAUGGGGAAAGGUGAAAGCUGAGAGCUGGGAGUGAGUCAGGCCAGUAGGGCCUUGUAAGCCAAGGUGGGGAUUUUUAAGCAAGGGUGUGACAUAGUCUGAUUUUGAUAUUUUUUUUAAUAAAAUAAGUAAAUUUAUUAAAAAAAAAGGUUUUGUCAUAAACACAUAAUUUUAUUUUUUUAUUUUUAUUAACAUCUUUAUUGGAGUAUAAUUGCUUUACAAUGGUGUGUUAGUUUCUGCUUUAUAACAAAGUGAAUCAGUUAUACAUAUACAUAUGUGCCCAUAUCUCUUCCCUCUUGCGUCUGCCUCCCUCCCACCCUCCCUAUCCCACCCCUCUAGGUGGUCACAAGGCACCAGGCUGAUCUCCCUGUGCUAUGUGGCUGCUUCCCACUAGCUAUCUAUUUUACGUUUGGUAGUGUAUAUAUGUCCAUGCCACUCUCACUUUGUGGCACAUAUAUACAAUGGAGUAUUACUCAGCCAUAAAAAGAAACAAAAUUGCGUUAUUUGUAGUAAGGUGGAUGGACCUAGAGUCUGUCAUACAGAGUGAAGUAAGUCAGAAAGAGAAAAACAAAUACUGUAUGCUAACACAUAUAUAUGGAAUCUAAGAAAAAAAAAAAGUCAUGAAGAACCUAGGGGCAA